CAAUUUAUGAGGAAAACAAGGAUGAAGAUGGUUUCCUUUAUAUGACCUACAGCGGAGAAAACACGUUUGGAGCGUGCUGAAACACAAUAAGAUGCAAACGUCUACAGAAAAUGGGAAGGGGAAAAGAUCAUAUCUGCUCUUGUACAUUCUCCUCACCCCCAUCAGUUGACUCUUUUAUCCCUUCAAACACAAUCUUUCUGUAUAGUUGGUUUAUUUGCGUUAUUCAAAAGUCAUGCUGUAAAUAAGGG
This 248-nucleotide unclassified non-coding RNA is filed under the name Hevea brasiliensis (rubber tree). Lineage: Eukaryota; Viridiplantae; Streptophyta; Magnoliopsida; Malpighiales; Euphorbiaceae. The record is from RNAcentral.